AUAAUACUCCAUAGAUUAGAGACACUGGAAUGUUCUUUAGUCGAAAGUUCUGGCGCCUUAGGAUGGAUCUGCGGUCGAUUAGGUUGUUGUUGGGGUAACGGCCCAACAAGCCUGUAAUCGAUACGGGUUGUGGGAGCAAGAGCCCGGAGAUGGAAUCUGAGACACGAUUCCAGGCCCUACGGGGCGCAGCAGGCGCGAAAACUUUACAAUGCAGGAAACUGUGAUAAGGGAACUCCGAGUGCCCGUAUACGCGGGCUGUCCAGGUGUUCAAAAAUCAUCUGAAGAAAGGGCCGGGCAAGACCGGUGCCAGCCGCCGCGGUAAUACCGGCGGCUCGAGUGGUGCCACUAUUAUUGGGCUUAAAGCGUCCGUAGCUGGACCGAUAAGUCUCUUGGGAAAUCCGCCGGCUCAACCGGCGGGCGUCUAAGGGAUACUGUUAGUCUAGGGACCGGGAGAGGUGAGAGGUACUCCGGGGGUAGGAGUGAAAUCCUGUAAUCCCCGGGGGACCACCGAUGGCGAAGGCAUCUCACCAGAACGGCUCCGACAGUGAGGGACGAAAGCUGGGGGAGCGAACCGGAUUAGAUACCCGGGUAGUCCCAGCCGUAAACUAUGCGCGUUAGGUGU
Molecule: ribosomal RNA, 622 nt
Filed under: uncultured archaeon
Lineage: Archaea
Description: bacterial SSU rRNA
Rfam family: Archaeal small subunit ribosomal RNA
Source: RNAcentral